RNAcentral lists this ribosomal RNA (916 nucleotides) under Klebsiella pneumoniae. RNAcentral describes it as "bacterial SSU rRNA". It matches the Rfam family "Bacterial small subunit ribosomal RNA", at positions 538 to 1446 of the family's 1533-position model. Lineage: Bacteria; Pseudomonadati; Pseudomonadota; Gammaproteobacteria; Enterobacterales; Enterobacteriaceae. The record is from RNAcentral.
GUUUAAUCGGAAUUUCUUGGGCGUAAAGCGCACGCAGGCCGUUCUGUCCAAGUCGGAUGUGAAAUUCCCCGGGCUCAACUGGGAACUGCAUUCGACACUGGCAGGCUAGAGUCUUGUAGAGGGGGGUAGAAUUUCAGGUGUAGCGGUGAAAUGCGUAGAGAUCUGGAGGAAUAACGGUGGCGAAAGGCGGCCCCCUGGACAAAGACUGACGCUCAGGUGCGAAAGCGUGGGGAGCAAACAGGAUUAGAUACCCUGGUAGUCCACGCCGUAAACGAUGUCGAUUUUGGAGGUUGUGCCCUUGAGGCGUGGCUUUCCGGAGCUAACGCGUUAAAUCGACCGCCUGGGGAGUACGGCCGCAAGGUUAAAACUCAAAUGAAUUGACGGGGGCCCGCACAAGCGGUGGAGCAUGUGGUUUAAUUCGAUGCAACGCGAAGAACCUUACCCUGGUCUUGACAUCCACAGAACUUUCCAGAGAUGGAUUGGUGCCUUCGGGAACUGUGAGACAGGUGCUGCAUGGCUGUCGUCAGCUCGUGUUGUGAAAUGUUGGGUUAAGUCCCGCAACGAGCGCAACCCUUAUCCUUUGUUGCCAGCGGUUAGGCCGGGAACUCAAAGGAGACUGCCAGUGAUAAACUGGAGGAAGGUGGGGAUGACGUCAAGUCAUCAUGGCCCUUACGACCAGGGCUACACACGUGCUACAAUGGCAUAUACAAAGAGAAGCGACCUCGCGAGAGCAAGCGGACCUCAUAAAGUAUGUCGUAGUCCGGAUUGGAGUCUGCAACUCGACUCCAUGAAGUCGGAAUCGCUAGUAAUCGUAGAUCAGAAUGCUACGGUGAAUACGUUCCCGGGCCUUGUACACACCGCCCGUCACACCAUGGGAGUGGGUUGCAAAAGAAGUAGGUAGCUUAUCCUCGCGAGG